UGGAGAACCUAAAGAAAAUAUUAAAAUACUUGAAGAAUCACAUAGACAAGAAGUUAAAUUAUUGAAACGUUAAAAUGAAUCACUUGGUGAUAAAUUAUCUAUUGAAAAAGCAGCAAUUGAUGCUGAAAAAAGAAAAAAUCAUUCAGUAUUAGAUCAACAACAACACCAUCAGCAGCAGCAACAACUGCAACAGCAGCAGAGUAUUGUUGAUGAUCCAAGAAUAAGUCCAACUUCAAGUGUCAGAAGAGGUGAAAUUAGUGGUACAAAUAGUCUCUGGUUAGCUUUCAAUGAUUCAAUGUUUGAUACCAGUUUAGGACGUUUACCAAGUAUUUAUGAUGGUCUUAGAAAUAGUGGUAAUACAACAUCAACUAAUGAAACACUUCAGGUACAAUUAAAAUCACGUGAAGGUGAAAUACAAAUGCUUCAGUAGGAAAUUUCACGACGAAAUAAUGAUUGUGAUGUACUAAUCAUAAAAUUAUCAAAUUUAUCAAUAAAAGUAGAUGGGCGAUCAAUUGAAUUAACAAAAGUUAAAGCAUUAAAGAAAAAUUUAAAUGAAAUAUAAACUAGAUAUGAUGCUUUGCUACAAAUGUAUGGUAAAAAAGUUGAAAAAAAUGAAAAUUUACGACUUGAUCUUGAGGAUUUUAAAGAAAUGUUUAAAAGUCAAAUUGAUCAGCUGCUAAAACGUGGUGCCAUUUAAAAUUUUUUUAAAUAAAAUUUUUAAUGUUAUUAUCAUUUUAAUUGGUAUUUUGAAGUGCUAUAAAAUGGCUUUAUGUCGCAGGCCGGCACAUUUCAUUUUUAUCAUUAUAAAUUUUAAAUAGAGAUAUUUCAUUUUUUUCUUUUGAGGAGA
Long non-coding RNA from Aphidius gifuensis, 847 nucleotides. RefSeq lists it as uncharacterized. NCBI's taxonomy places the organism in Eukaryota, Metazoa, Arthropoda, Insecta, Hymenoptera, Braconidae. The record is from RefSeq and is a predicted model, not a curated record. The transcript has 3 exons.